Potamilus streckersoni is the source of this 73-nucleotide non-coding RNA. The record is from the annotation of a GenBank genome assembly. NCBI's taxonomy places the organism in Eukaryota, Metazoa, Mollusca, Bivalvia, Unionida, Unionidae.
GCUCCGGUGGCCUAGUGGUUAGAGGGUCCGCCUCGUAUGUGGGAGGUCGUGGGUUCGAUCCCUGGUUGAGUCA